CGAACGGGUGAGUAACGCGUGAGGAACCUGCCUCAAAGAGGGGGACAACAGUUGGAAACGACUGCUAAUACCGCAUAAGCCCACGGCUCGGCAUCGAGCAGGGGGGAAAGGAGUAAUCCGCUUUGAGAUGGCCUCGCGUCCGAUUAGCUAGUUGGUGAGGUAAUGGCCCACCAAGGCGACGAUCGGUAGCCGGACUGAGAGGUUGAACGGCCACAUUGGGACUGAGACACGGCCCAG
RNAcentral lists this ribosomal RNA (237 nucleotides) under uncultured bacterium. RNAcentral's name for it is "partial 16S ribosomal RNA". It matches the Rfam family "Bacterial small subunit ribosomal RNA", at positions 99 to 334 of the family's 1533-position model. The record is from RNAcentral.